GCGUGUGUGGCGUAAUUGGCAGCCGCGCCAGAUUCAGGGUCUGGUGGGUUCACACCCCGUGCAGGUUCAAGUCCUGCCACACGCA
RNAcentral lists this transfer RNA (85 nucleotides) under Candidatus Babelota bacterium. RNAcentral's name for it is "Candidatus Dependentiae bacterium tRNA-Leu". It matches the Rfam family "tRNA". From Rfam's summary of the family: Transfer RNA (tRNA) molecules are approximately 80 nucleotides in length. Their secondary structure includes four short double-helical elements and three loops (D, anti-codon, and T loops). Further hydrogen bonds mediate the characteristic L-shaped molecular structure. tRNAs have two regions of fundamental functional importance: the anti-codon, which is responsible for specific mRNA codon recognition, and the 3' end, to which the tRNAs corresponding amino acid is attached (by aminoacyl-tRNA synthetases). tRNAs cope with the degeneracy of the genetic code in two manners: having more than one tRNA (with a specific anti-codon) for a particular amino acid; and 'wobble' base-pairing, i.e. permitting non-standard base-pairing at the 3rd anti-codon position. The record is from RNAcentral.